Molecule: long non-coding RNA, 458 nt
Organism: Brachypodium distachyon (stiff brome)
Lineage: Eukaryota; Viridiplantae; Streptophyta; Magnoliopsida; Poales; Poaceae
Exons: 2
Source: RefSeq, a predicted model, not a curated record
GUAAUACCUGCAGCAAGUUAAGCGCGUGUCAGCGAGCAGCCACGUUUCCCUUUAUUUCUGUGAUUUUCAUUUUUAGUGGUUGAACUGAACGUACUCGGGGUCGAGAUAUCCUGGGGUGCCCACUACUCGUGUGGAGACAUGGGAGUGGAGGUCGCUGUUGAAGGCCUUGGACAGGCCGAAAUCGGCUAUCUUGGCCUCGAGGUUGCUCCCGUUCAGGAGGAUGUUGGCCGUCUUCACAUCCCUGUGGAUCAGGGGCGGCUUGCAUGCCUUGUGCAGCUAGCCAGGAAACCUUGAGCAGAUUCGAGCGAAAUUCUUAACCGUUGGCGCCAUGGUAGGGGUGCAGUGUCAGGAGAUUUUACUGCAGAAUAGAAUACAAGCGGUCAGUACGAGUUUCAGGCAUGGUAGAGCACUCCAGUUUCAAGUUACUACCUCUUAGCUUUUCUUGUAAAGUCCCUUCG